ACUCCUACGGGAGGCAGCAGUAGGGAAUCUUCCACAAUGGGCGCAAGCCUGAUGGAGCAACACCGCGUGAGUGAAGAAGGGUUUCGGCUCGUAAAGCUCUGUUGUUAAAGAAGAACACGUAUGAGAGUAACUGUUCAUACGUUGACGGUAUUUAACCAGAAAGUCACGGCUAACUACGUGCCAGCAGCCGCGGUAAUACGUAGGUGGCAAGCGUUAUCCGGAUUUAUUGGGCGUAAAGAGAGUGCAGGCGGUUUUCUAAGUCUGAUGUGAAAGCCUUCGGCUUAACCGGAGAAGUGCAUCGGAAACUGGAUAACUUGAGUGCAGAAGAGGUAGUGGAACUCCAUGUGUAGCGGUGGAAUGCGUAGAUAUAUGGAAGAACACCAGUGGCGAAGGCGGCUACCUGGUCUGCAACUGACGCUGAGACUCGAAAGCAGU
RNAcentral lists this ribosomal RNA (435 nucleotides) under uncultured bacterium. RNAcentral's name for it is "bacterial SSU rRNA". It matches the Rfam family "Bacterial small subunit ribosomal RNA", at positions 335 to 763 of the family's 1533-position model. The record is from RNAcentral.